UUGGGAUAAUGGAGAACGUUCUGUAAUUGGAUGGCGGUGAUGGUUGCAGAACAACGUGAAUGUACUUAAUGCCAUAUAACCGUACACUUAAAAGUGGUUAAAGUGGUCAAUUUAUAUAUAUAUGUAUGUAUAUAUAUAUAACACGCCACAAUAAUAAAUAGUAAAACAUAACCAAAGAAUAGAGGUAUCUGUAGGAGCCCUCUGCCCUAAUGCAGAUGAGCCCCACCCUGUAAACGCUAGUGAAGUCUAAGGAUUUUGGCCAGCAUGGCAACCCCAGUGCUGUCUCUUUUGCUCAGAGCCGUAGAUGGGAAACAGAAGUUAGGGAAGUAUGUCUCAGGCACCCUGGAGGACUCCUCAGGGGAAACUCAUCUGACAAGGACACAGAUAUUUUUCUAGGUUCCGUGAGUCUUCUUUGUGGUUCAUCCUACCAGCUGGAGUUUUCUGAUAUUCCAGUGUAUGUGAAAAUAAUAGCUAAGAUUUUUGUUUUUGUUUUCAGACAGAGUCUCACUCUGUCACCCAGGCUGGAGUGCAGUGGUAC
Long non-coding RNA from Sapajus apella (tufted capuchin), 538 nucleotides. RefSeq lists it as uncharacterized. Lineage: Eukaryota; Metazoa; Chordata; Mammalia; Primates; Cebidae. The record is from RefSeq and is a predicted model, not a curated record. The transcript is spliced from 3 exons.